RNAcentral lists this ribosomal RNA (505 nucleotides) under Metschnikowia proteae. RNAcentral's name for it is "LSU rRNA". It matches the Rfam family "Eukaryotic large subunit ribosomal RNA", at positions 45 to 668 of the family's 3401-position model. Lineage: Eukaryota; Fungi; Ascomycota; Pichiomycetes; Serinales; Metschnikowiaceae. The record is from RNAcentral.
AAUAAGCGGAGGAAAAGAAACCAACCGGGAUUACCUCAGUAACGGCGAGUGAAGCGGUAAAAGCUCAAAUUUGGAAUCCUCAGGAGUUGUAAUUUGACGGAGUUGGAUUUUGGAAUAUCAUCAUACAAGUCUAUUGGAAAAUAGCGCCAGAGAGGGUGAUAGCCCCGUUACGAUGAUCCAUAUAGAAAUUCAGCUCUCAAGAGUCGGGUUGUUUGGGAAUGCAGCUCAAAGUGGGUGGUAAAUUCCAUCUAAGGCUAAAUAUUGGCGAGAGACCGAUAGCGAACAAGUACAGUGAUGGAAAGAUGAAAAGCACUUUGAAAAGAGAGUGAAAUAGUACGUGAAAUUGUUGAAAGGGAAGGGCUUGCAGGUGAUAAUAGUUUCUUUUUAACUCAAUGGUGGGGGUAAUAAAGUGAGGUCUCGGCAAUGCUAGGAGACCUCAAGAUAUACGUCCGGGUGAAAAGUUAAACCUUACGGCUGCAAGUCGCCCGUCUUGAAACACGGACCA